This 529-nucleotide ribosomal RNA is filed under the name uncultured archaeon. RNAcentral describes it as "bacterial SSU rRNA". It matches the Rfam family "Archaeal small subunit ribosomal RNA", at positions 452 to 981 of the family's 1478-position model. The record is from RNAcentral.
CUGGUGUCAGCCGCCGCGGUAAUACCAGCUCUCCGAGUGGUAGGGAUGAUUAUUGGGCUUAAAGCGUCCGUAGCUGGCUUUUCAAGUCUCUCGUUAAAUCCAGCGAUUCAAUCGUUGGGCCGCGGGGGAUACUGUUGAGCUUGGGGGCGGGAGAAGCCGACGGUAUUUCCGGUGUAGGGGUAAAAUCCUAUAAUCCCGGGAGGACCACCAGUGGCGUAGGCGGUCGGCUAGCACGCGCUCGACGGUGAGGGACGAAAGCUGGGGGAGCGAACCGGAUUAGAUACCCGGAUAGUCCCAGCUGUAAACGAUGCGGGCUAGGUGUUGGAGCGGCCACGAGCUGCUUCAGUGCCGCAGGAAAACCAUUAAGCCCGCCGCCUGGGGAGUACGGCCGCAAGGCUGAAACUUAAAGGAAUUGGCGGGGGAGCACCACAAGGGGUGAAGCUUGCGGUUUAAUUGGAGUCAACGCCGGGAACCUUACCGGGGGCGACAGCAGGAUGAAAGCCAGAUUGAAGGUCUUGCUAGACGAGCU